Molecule: ribosomal RNA, 249 nt
Filed under: uncultured bacterium
Lineage: Bacteria
Description: partial 16S ribosomal RNA
Rfam family: Bacterial small subunit ribosomal RNA
Source: RNAcentral
CAUGCCGUAAACGAUGAGUGCUAAGUGUUAGGGGGUUUCCGCCCCUUAGUGCUGCAGCUAACGCAUUAAGCACUCCGCCUGGGGAGUACGACCGCAAGGUUGAAACUCAAAGGAAUUGACGGGGACCCGCACAAGCAGCGGAGCAUGUGGUUUAAUUCGAAGCAACGCGAAGAACCUUACCAGGUCUUGACAUCCCGAUGACCGCUCUAGAGAUAGAGUUUUCCCUUCGGGGACAUUGGUGACAGGUGG